CUACGAAGGCGGCUAGCGUUGUUCGGAAUCACUGGGCGUAAAGCGCGCGUAGGUGGAUCAAUUAGUUGAGGGUGAAAUCCCGGGGCUCAACCUCGGAACUGCCUUCAAUACUGUUGAUCUUGAGACCGAGAGAGGUGAGUGGAAUUCCUAGUGUAGAGGUGAAAUUCGUAGAUAUUAGGAAGAACACCAGUGGCGAAGGCGGCUCACUGGCUCGGUACUGACGCUGAGGUGCGAAAGCGUGGGGAGCAAACAGGAUUAGAAACCCCGGUAGUCC
Molecule: ribosomal RNA, 274 nt
Filed under: uncultured bacterium
Lineage: Bacteria
Description: partial 16S ribosomal RNA
Rfam family: Bacterial small subunit ribosomal RNA
Source: RNAcentral